RNAcentral lists this long non-coding RNA (312 nucleotides) under Mytilus galloprovincialis (Mediterranean mussel). The record is from RNAcentral. Lineage: Eukaryota; Metazoa; Mollusca; Bivalvia; Mytilida; Mytilidae.
AAACUGUAAACAGCGAUAAUGUUCAUCAAAGUAAGAUCUACAAAUAAGUCCACAUGACCUAAAUGGUCAAUUGACCCCUUAAGGAGUUAUUGCCUUUAUAGUCAAUUUUUUAACAAUUUUUCAUUAAUUUGGUAUAUUUAUGUAAAUUUUUACCAAAAUAUUUUUCUCUGUUACUAAUGGGCAAAGUUCAUUAUAUAUAAUUGUAAGAAGCAAGAAUGUCAGUAAAGUAAGAACUUCAAACACAUCACCAUCACCAAAAUACAAUUUUGUCAUGAAUCCAUUUGUGUCCUUUGUUUAAUAUGCACAUAGACC